UGGGGAAUAUUGCACAAUGGGCGCAAGCCUGAUGCAGCCAUGCCGCGUGUAUGAAGAAGGCCUUCGGGUUGUAAAGUACUUUCAGUCGGGAGGAAGGUGUCAAGGUUAAUAACCUUGGCAAUUGACGUUACCGACAGACGAAGCACCGGCUAACUCCGUGCCAGCAGCCGCGGUAAUACGGAGGGUGCAAGCGUUAAUCGGAAUUACUGGGCGUAAAGCGCACGCAGGCGGUUGAUUGAGUCAGAUGUGAAAUCCCCGGGCUUAACCCGGGAAUUGCAUCUGAUACUGGUCAGCUAGAGUCUUGUAGAGGGGGGUAGAAUUCCAUGUGUAGCGGUGAAAUGCGUAGAGAUGUGGAGGAAUACCGGUGGCGAAGGCGGCCCCCUGGACAAAGACUGACGCUCAGGUGCGAAAGCGUGGGGAGCAAACAGG
RNAcentral lists this ribosomal RNA (429 nucleotides) under Chloroflexota bacterium. RNAcentral's name for it is "Chloroflexi bacterium partial 16S ribosomal RNA". It matches the Rfam family "Bacterial small subunit ribosomal RNA", at positions 355 to 776 of the family's 1533-position model. Lineage: Bacteria; Bacillati; Chloroflexota. The record is from RNAcentral.